This 427-nucleotide ribosomal RNA is filed under the name uncultured Actinomycetes bacterium. RNAcentral's name for it is "bacterial SSU rRNA". It matches the Rfam family "Bacterial small subunit ribosomal RNA", at positions 917 to 1348 of the family's 1533-position model. The record is from RNAcentral. Lineage: Bacteria; Bacillati; Actinomycetota; Actinomycetes.
GGGCCCGCACAAGCGGCGGAGCAUGCGGAUUAAUUCGAUGCAACGCGAAGGACCUUACCUGGGUUUGACAUACACCCUGCCGCUCCAGAGAUGGGGCUUCUUUUGGGGGUGUACAGGUGGUGCAUGGCUGUCGUCAGCUCGUGUCGUGAGAUGUUGGGUUAAGUCCCGCAACGAGCGCAACCCUCGUUCUAUGUUGCCAGCGCGUGAUGGCGGGGACUCAUCGAAGACUGCCGGGGUCAACUCGGAGGAAGGUGGGGAUGACGUCAAGUCAUCAUGCCCCUUAUGUCCAGGGCUUCACGCAUGCUACAAUGGCCGGUACAAAGGGUUGCGAUGCCGUGAGGUGGAGCGAAUCCCAAAAAGCCGGUCUCAGUUCGGAUCGGGGUCUGCAACUCGACCCCGUGAAGUCGGAGUCGCUAGUAAUCGCAGA